Molecule: ribosomal RNA, 497 nt
Filed under: uncultured bacterium
Lineage: Bacteria
Description: partial 16S ribosomal RNA
Rfam family: Bacterial small subunit ribosomal RNA
Source: RNAcentral
GAUGAACGCUGGCGGCGUGCCUAGUACAUGCAAGUCGAGCGAACAGAUGAGGAGCUUGCUCCUCUGACGUUAGCGGCGGACGGGUGAGUAACACGUGGAUAACCUACCUAUAAGACUGGGAUAACUUCGGGAAACCGGAGCUAAUACCGGAUAAUAUAUUGAACCGCAUGGUUCAAUAGUGAAAGACGGUUUUGCUGUCACUUAUAGAUGGAUCCGCGCCGCAUUAGCUAGUUGGUAAGGUAACGGCUUACCAAGGCAACGAUGCGUAGCCGACCUGAGAGGGUGAUCGGCCACACGGGAACUGAGACACGGUCCAGACUCCUACGGGAGGCAGCAGUAGGGAAUCUGCCGCAAUGGGCGAAAGCCUGACGGAGCAACGCCGCGUGAGUGAUGAAGGUCUUCGGAUCGUAAAACUCUGUUAUUAGGGAAGAACAAAUGUGUAAGUAACUAUGCACGUCUUGACGGUACCUAAUCAGAAAGCCACGGCUAACUACGUG